This 492-nucleotide ribosomal RNA is filed under the name Oscillibacter sp. RNAcentral's name for it is "bacterial SSU rRNA". It matches the Rfam family "Bacterial small subunit ribosomal RNA", at positions 1 to 491 of the family's 1533-position model. The record is from RNAcentral. Lineage: Bacteria; Bacillati; Bacillota; Clostridia; Eubacteriales; Oscillospiraceae.
UUUAUUGAGAGUUUGAUCCUGGCUCAGGACGAACGCUGGCGGCGUGCUUAACACAUGCAAGUCGAACGGAGCACCCUCGAAAGAGACUUCGGUCAAUGGAAAGGAUUGCUUAGUGGCGGACGGGUGAGUAACGCGUGAGGAACCUGCCUUUCAGAGGGGGACAACAGCUGGAAACGGCUGCUAAUACCGCAUAACGCAUAGGUAUCGCAUGGUACUUAUGCCAAAGAUUUAUCGCUGAGAGAUGGCCUCGCGUCUGAUUAGCUAGUUGGUAGGGUAACGGCCUACCAAGGCGACGAUCAGUAGCCGGACUGAGAGGUUGGCCGGCCACAUUGGGACUGAGAUACGGCCCAGACUCCUACGGGAGGCAGCAGUGGGGAAUAUUGGGCAAUGGGCGCAAGCCUGACCCAGCAACGCCGCGUGAAGGAAGAAGGCUUUCGGGUUGUAAACUUCUUUUGACAGGGAAGAGCAGAAGACGGUACCUGUCGAAUAAGC